AGCCGAACAAUAUUAACAGAAUCUAAUACGCGAUAUGAUACUGUGAAUAAUUCUUUUUUUUUUUUAGUAUGUAAUUCACCUACCCCAAAUUUAAUAAAAUAUAAGAUUUAAAUGGGUAAAUUUAAAGCAAUUAAGACGGAUAAAUUCGCUUGUGUAUUAAAUAUUCUUUUUCUAUUAUUAAUAAAUUAAAAUUUUGGUAAU
Molecule: long non-coding RNA, 201 nt
Filed under: Capsella rubella
Lineage: Eukaryota; Viridiplantae; Streptophyta; Magnoliopsida; Brassicales; Brassicaceae
Description: long non-coding RNA (CRUB_LNC002339)
Source: RNAcentral